RNAcentral lists this ribosomal RNA (790 nucleotides) under uncultured Staphylococcus sp. RNAcentral's name for it is "bacterial SSU rRNA". It matches the Rfam family "Bacterial small subunit ribosomal RNA", at positions 129 to 905 of the family's 1533-position model. The record is from RNAcentral. Lineage: Bacteria; Bacillati; Bacillota; Bacilli; Caryophanales; Staphylococcaceae.
CCUAUAAGACUGGGAUAACUUCGGGAAACCGGGGCUAAUACCGGAUAAUAUAUUGAACCGCAUGGUUCAAUGUUGAAAGACGGUUUCGGCUGUCACUUAUAGAUGGACCCGCGCCGUAUUAGCUAGUUGGUAAGGUAACGGCUUACCAAGGCAACGAUACGUAGCCGACCUGAGAGGGUGAUCGGCCACACUGGAACUGAGACACGGUCCAGACUCCUACGGGAGGCAGCAGUAGGGAAUCUUCCGCAAUGGGCGAAAGCCUGACGGAGCAACGCCGCGUGAGUGAUGAAGGUCUUAGGAUCGUAAAACUCUGUUGUUAGGGAAGAACAAAUUUGUUAGUAACUGAACAAGUCUUGACGGUACCUAACCAGAAAGCCACGGCUAACUACGUGCCAGCAGCCGCGGUAAUACGUAGGUGGCAAGCGUUAUCCGGAAUUAUUGGGCGUAAAGCGCGCGUAGGCGGUUUCUUAAGUCUGAUGUGAAAGCCCACGGCUCAACCGUGGAGGGUCAUUGGAAACUGGGGAGCUUGAGUGCAGAAGAGGAGAGUGGAAUUCCAUGUGUAGCGGUGAAAUGCGCAGAGAUAUGGAGGAACACCAGUGGCGAAGGCGGCUCUCUGGUCUGUAACUGACGCUGAUGUGCGAAAGCGUGGGGAUCAAACAGGAUUAGAUACCCUGGUAGUCCACGCCGUAAACGAUGAGUGCUAAGUGUUAGGGGGUUUCCGCCCCUUAGUGCUGCAGCUAACGCAUUAAGCACUCCGCCUGGGGAGUACGACCGCAGGUUGAAACUCAAA